RNAcentral lists this ribosomal RNA (233 nucleotides) under uncultured bacterium. Its description in RNAcentral is "partial 16S ribosomal RNA". It matches the Rfam family "Bacterial small subunit ribosomal RNA", at positions 103 to 334 of the family's 1533-position model. The record is from RNAcentral.
CGGGUGAGUAACGCGUGAGGAGCCUGCCUCAAAGAGGGGGACAACAGUUGGAAACGACUGCUAAUACCGCAUAAGCCCACAGGUCGGCAUCGACCAGAGGGAAAAGGAGCAAUCCGCUUUGAGAUGGCCUCGCGUCCGAUUAGCUAGUUGGUGAGGUAACGGCCCACCAAGGCGACGAUCGGUAGCCGGACUGAGAGGUUGAACGGCCACAUUGGGACUGAGACACGGCCCAG